CAUUGUUACAAACAAUUUAGCUGUAACGCAUUUGAAAGAGAAUAGAAUCACCUACUUUCCCCCGUUGGCCUUCUAGAUUGACCGUACUGUUCGCCAGCAAAAGCAAAAAAGUUCCGGAUGAAAUCGAGGAUGAAAGUGAGAAAAAGAAGGAUGGGGAUGACAGCAGCAAUAUCAACAAACAUUCUGCUACAGUUGCUGGCACUUGCACUCAUCAUUUGGAGAUUAUGGAAAAGCUCGAUGCUAUAAUGAAGAAGCAGGAAGAGUUCGAGAAAAGGAUGAAUUUAACCCUUCGCUUUUAUCAUACAAUCGAAGAUGCGGUGAAGAAAAUCGAACGAGCUUUUCUUUAUAUAAUCCACCAACUUCACAAUUUGGUUGGAAUAAAUGAAAAUUAAAAAAUCACA
Nasonia vitripennis (jewel wasp) is the source of this 401-nucleotide long non-coding RNA. RefSeq lists it as uncharacterized. The transcript is spliced from 3 exons. Lineage: Eukaryota; Metazoa; Arthropoda; Insecta; Hymenoptera; Pteromalidae. The record is from RefSeq and is a predicted model, not a curated record.